This 101-nucleotide small RNA is filed under the name Allosphingosinicella indica. Its description in RNAcentral is "Sphingomonas sp. Dd16 Repression of heat shock gene expression (ROSE) element". It matches the Rfam family "Repression of heat shock gene expression (ROSE) element". From Rfam's summary of the family: This family represents a 5' UTR cis-regulatory element found in heat shock mRNAs and is known as the ROSE (repression of heat shock gene expression) element. The ROSE element is a negative regulator of heat shock gene expression. The secondary structure is thought to be regulated by temperature. Lineage: Bacteria; Pseudomonadati; Pseudomonadota; Alphaproteobacteria; Sphingomonadales; Sphingomicrobiaceae. The record is from Rfam by way of RNAcentral.
CCGGGUGCCCCUCGGGGGCCUGGCUGGGACAGGAGGGCGCCGGCUCUCACCGGCGCAUCUCACGCCCAAAUUGCUUCAACAGGAGGAUUUGGAAAUGAGAA